GACGAACGCUGGCGGCGUGCCUUACACAUGCAAGUCGAACGGUAACAGGUCUUCGGAUGCUGACGAGUGGCGAACGGGUGAGUAAUACAUCGGAACGUGCCCAGACGUGGGGGAUAACGAGGCGAAAGCUUUGCUAAUACCGCAUACGAUCUAAGGAUGAAAGCAGGGGACCGCAAGGCCUUGCGCGUUUUGAGCGGCCGAUGGCAGAUCAGGUAGUUGGUGGGAUAAAAGCUUACCAAGCCGACGAUCUGUAGCUGGUCUGAGAGGACGACCAGCCACACUGAGACUGAGACACGGCACAGACUCCUACGGGAGGCAGCAGUGGGGAAUUUUGGACAAUGGGCGAAAGCCUGAUCCAGCAAUGCCGCGUGCAGGAUGAGGGCCUUCGGGUUGUAAACUGCUUUUGUACGGAACGAAAGGCUCUGGCUAAUACCUGGGGCACAUGACGGUACCGUAAGAAUAAGCACCGGCUAACUACGUGCCAGCCGCCGCAGUAA
This 497-nucleotide ribosomal RNA is filed under the name uncultured bacterium. RNAcentral's name for it is "partial 16S ribosomal RNA". It matches the Rfam family "Bacterial small subunit ribosomal RNA", at positions 28 to 523 of the family's 1533-position model. The record is from RNAcentral.